Molecule: unclassified non-coding RNA, 346 nt
Filed under: uncultured fungus
Lineage: Eukaryota; Fungi
Description: partial contains small subunit ribosomal RNA, internal transcribed spacer 1, and 5.8S ribosomal RNA
Rfam family: Eukaryotic small subunit ribosomal RNA (bases 1-144)
Source: RNAcentral
GCAAACUUGGUCAUUUAGAGGAAGUAAAAGUCGUAACAAGGUUUCCGUAGGUAAGUGUGGAAGCUUUCUGCCUUGUACUAUCUUUCUAUGCUGGAAUAAUGCGCUGACUUCUCCCUCUUAGGUGAACCUGCGGAAGGAUCAUUACUGAGAGUAACUCUUUAUAAGAGUGCCUCCCGUCCUUUGCGGGCCCCUUUAUGGGGCUUUUUGACUUUGCUUCGGCGGGGCUACCCCGCCGGAACACCCUCAAAAAAAUCUCGAAAAAAACCGUUCAGUCCGAGGGCUUGCGAAUAAAUAAAAAACUUUCAACAACGGAUCUCUUGGUUCUGGCAUCGAUGAAGAACGCAGC